RNA transcript from Capsicum annuum, 1241 nucleotides. It is a transcript of the gene named probable ADP-ribosylation factor GTPase-activating protein AGD15, with no coding region annotated. The transcript is spliced from 9 exons. NCBI's taxonomy places the organism in Eukaryota, Viridiplantae, Streptophyta, Magnoliopsida, Solanales, Solanaceae. The record is from RefSeq and is a predicted model, not a curated record.
AUUGAAUGAAUGUGUGAUAACAAAAAAACCAUUCAUUCAUUCAGAAAGAAGAAGAAUAGAACAUAACAUUACACCAUAUCUACAUAGAGGGAGAUAGUUUUUUCUCUCUCUCUUUCUCUUGUCCUUUGCCUUGUUGUUCUUUUUUGGCUUUUUGGAACAUAUUAAUCAGCAGCCAUGAACGACAAGGCUUCUGUUUCUAAAGAGCUUAAUGCCAAACAUGCAAAGCUAUUGGAGGGCCUUCUUAAGCUUCCAGAAAAUAGGGAAUGUGCAGAUUGUCGGGGAAGGGCCCCAAGGUGGGCGAGCAUCAACCUUGGGAUAUUCAUCUGUCUGCAAUGUUCAGGAAUUCAUAGGAGUCUUGGGGUACAUAUCUCAAAGGUGAGGUCGACCACUUUGGAUACAUGGCUGCCGGAGCAGGUUGCUUUUAUGCAAUGUGUAGGUAAUGAGAAGUCGAACAAUUAUUGGGAGGCAGAUCUACCAGCAAGCGAAGAUAGAAGCGACAUUGGGAAAUUUAUCCGGACCAAGUAUCAGGAUAAGAAAUGGGCUUCGAGAUAUGCCCCUCAACCAGCACCAUCUAACAUGACUGAUGAAACAAUUGAAUUCGAAGAAAAAGCUGAUAUUCCAAGGAAAGCAAGAAAAUAUUCUUUGGAGGAUGAAGUUUUUAAUGCACAACAGCCACAAGUUCCUUCGACAACAAGAUCUCGUGGGGUUUCUUUAGACACGAUGGAUGAACUUCUUAAUUUACCUCCAAAAACUGGUCUGAUCAAUGCGCCAUCCGUGAAGCUCAAAGAAGAGAAGAAAGAUCUCUUCAGUUUGCUCUAUGCCUCAGAGGCAAACCAAGAUCGCACUAUUGUGCCUCCAUCUCGCUGGGCAACUUUUGAGUGAGCUGAUGAGACCAAGAGAAGAACCAGUUGGGAGUCAUAUCGCAGCACUUUUGCAUUGGAUUAGAGUUCAUGGAUGAUAAGGCGAGAGAGAGAGCUGCAAUUCAACAUGAUGGACCUCUUUUUCUUGUGAAGACUUGCUGGGAUUGUUAUUGAUUGGGCAGAUAGUCUGUAUCCAUUGCUAUUAGUUUUCAUGUAUAGAGUUACUAUUUAGUUGUAUCCAAUAUGAUUAAAUUAAAGAGUUGGCAACUGGAUUCUACCACUUUGUGUCUUAAAAGAUUAAUGUAUGGUUCAUUAUUUUUUCUGUAUAGAAAAUGAUUUCUUUCAUAUAAUUACUAGCUAGGAGUACAAUUUAUUUUGAUC